AUUAGGAAUCUUGCGCAAUGGGGGAAACCCUGACGCAGCGACGCCGCGUGAAGGACGAAGGCCUUCGGGUUGUAAACUUCUUUUAUCAGGGAAGAAGCAAGUGACGGUACCUGAUGAAUAAGCCCCGGCUAACUACGUGCCAGCAGCCGCGGUAAUACGUAGGGGGCGAGCGUUGUCCGAAGUUACUGGGCGUAAAGCGCGCGUAGGCGGGGCGUUAAGUUGGGUGUGAAAUCUCCGGGCUCAACCCGGAAACCGCAUCCAAAACUGGCGUCCUUGAGGUAUGGAGAGGGAAGUGGAAUUCCUGGUGUAGCGGUGAAAUGCGUAGAUAUCAGGAGGAACACCCGUGGCGAAGGCGGCUUCCUGGUCAUAUCCUGACGCUGAGGCGCGAAAGCUAGGGGAGCGAACGGGAUUAGAUACCCUUGUAGUCC
This 428-nucleotide ribosomal RNA is filed under the name uncultured bacterium. Its description in RNAcentral is "bacterial SSU rRNA". It matches the Rfam family "Bacterial small subunit ribosomal RNA", at positions 354 to 796 of the family's 1533-position model. The record is from RNAcentral.